Molecule: non-coding RNA, 289 nt
Organism: Paramuricea clavata
Lineage: Eukaryota; Metazoa; Cnidaria; Anthozoa; Malacalcyonacea; Plexauridae
Source: the annotation of a GenBank genome assembly
ACCCUUAGAUCAUCAAGUCGAGCAGUGUUUCUUGCGUGAAAAUCAUUAUUAUCAAUAAAUUUGUCAUAUUCUUCUAAAUACGAGUCUCCGUCAUGAGUCGACUGUUCAGGGCUUCUUAUAUCACUGAGAAAGUAAACCACUCCUAUAAGCCAUGCCGCUGUUAGAAGACCGAGUACGGUUCGCGUCUUCAAACAGCGCAUGAUAUCGUACGAUAAAAGCCAGAGAAAGGAAUUAAAAUUUGUUUAAAGACGCAUUGUUUUUUUACGUUCUUUUUGCAAACGUAUGCGCC